AAACCAACAGGGAUUGCCUCAGUAACGGCGAGUGAAGCGGCAAAAGCUCAAAUUUGAAAUCCCCCCGGGGAGUUGUAAUUUGAAGAUUGCGUCUUGGAGGCGACCGUGUCUAUGUUCCUUGGAACAGGACGUCACAGAGGGUGAGAAUCCCGUGCGGCACGGCCCCCGGCUCCUUAUAAGGCGCUCUCGACGAGUCGAGUUGUUUGGGAAUGCAGCUCAAAGUGGGUGGUAAAUUCCAUCUAAAGCUAAAUACAGGCGAGAGACCGAUAGCGAACAAGUACAGUGAUGGAAAGAUGAAAAGCACUUUGAAAAGAGAGUGAAACAGCACGUGAAAUUGUUGAAAGGGAAGGGCAUGCCGUCAGAUUGUCAGUGUGGGUAAGAAGCGGGGUACAAAGACUGUGGAACGUGGCCCUCGGGUGUUAUAGCCGCAGUUCAUGCCCCGUCUCUUUCCGAGGCCUGCUUUGAGGACACCGACGUAAUGACGGUACGCCGCCCGUCUUGAAACACGGACCAAGGAGUCUAACGUCUAUGCGAGUGUGUGGGUGUCAAACCCAAACGCGUAAUGAAAGUGAACAGAUGAGUUUCAUCAUCGACCGAUCCUGAAGUGUUCGGAUGGAUUUGAGUAAGAGCAUAGCUGUUGGGACCCGAAAGAUGGUGAACUAUGCCUGAAUAGGGUGAAGCCAGAGGAAACUCUGGUGGAGGCUCGUAGCGGUUCUGACGUGCAAAUCGAUCGU
RNAcentral lists this ribosomal RNA (734 nucleotides) under Kodamaea ohmeri. RNAcentral describes it as "partial 28S ribosomal RNA". It matches the Rfam family "Eukaryotic large subunit ribosomal RNA", at positions 62 to 905 of the family's 3401-position model. Lineage: Eukaryota; Fungi; Ascomycota; Pichiomycetes; Serinales; Debaryomycetaceae. The record is from RNAcentral.